Ictalurus punctatus (channel catfish) is the source of this 375-nucleotide long non-coding RNA. NCBI's taxonomy places the organism in Eukaryota, Metazoa, Chordata, Actinopteri, Siluriformes, Ictaluridae. The record is from Ensembl.
GCCACAGCGACAUCUGACAUGGGGUUGUGAGCCUGGAGCCUAUCCCAGAGAAAUUGGGGCACAAGGUGGAGGACACCCUGGAUGUGGUGCCAACCCAUCACAAGGCACAACUGCAUACACAGUCACACACUACAGACAAUUUGGAAACGCCAAUCAGCCUACAAGGCAUGUCUUUAGACUAGGGGAGGAAACUGGAGUACUGGGAGAAAAUCCCUGAAGCACAGGGAGAACAUGCAAAAACUCCACACACACACAGGGCGGAGGCGUUAUUCGAACCCCAACCCCGGAAGUGCGAGGUAAGUAUACUAACCACUAAACCCUACCUGACAUCUUAUAGUUUAAAAAAUAAUAAUAAAUCAAAAUAUAAAACUGGCA